GGCUGGCUACCGAAGAGGCCGAACGGAGCCGACUGUAAAUCGGCAGCGCCAUGCGCCACGCAGGUCCGAAUCCUGCGCCAGCCA
This 84-nucleotide transfer RNA is filed under the name Caudoviricetes sp. RNAcentral describes it as "tRNA-Tyr". It matches the Rfam family "tRNA". From Rfam's summary of the family: Transfer RNA (tRNA) molecules are approximately 80 nucleotides in length. Their secondary structure includes four short double-helical elements and three loops (D, anti-codon, and T loops). Further hydrogen bonds mediate the characteristic L-shaped molecular structure. tRNAs have two regions of fundamental functional importance: the anti-codon, which is responsible for specific mRNA codon recognition, and the 3' end, to which the tRNAs corresponding amino acid is attached (by aminoacyl-tRNA synthetases). tRNAs cope with the degeneracy of the genetic code in two manners: having more than one tRNA (with a specific anti-codon) for a particular amino acid; and 'wobble' base-pairing, i.e. permitting non-standard base-pairing at the 3rd anti-codon position. Lineage: Duplodnaviria; Heunggongvirae; Uroviricota; Caudoviricetes. The record is from RNAcentral.